AUGGCUAAGUAUUUUUUGAUUAGUUCUCUUAACCAAAAGUUGAUGCAUUGGGUGUCUUGGAAGGAACUGGCUACACCCAAGUGUAAUGGUGGAAUGGGCUUCAGGGAUCUACAUCCGUUUAAUCUGGCUAUGUUGGGUAAACAUGGAUGGCGUUUUUUGACAAAUCCAAACUCGCUAUGCGCAAGAGUUCUAAAGGGUCGCUAUUUUCCAGAUUCAGACUUCAUGCAAGCAACAGCACCCAAGUCGGCCUCGGCUACAUGGAAGGCUAUCAUAGCGGGGAGAGAGGCUCUUGAGAUUGGUUUGAUUUCCCGAGUGGGGGAUGGCUCCACUAUAUCAGUGUGGGCUAAUAAAUGGACCCCGAACACCAUCUCCAUGACUCCAUCAGCGAGGCCACCAAACACACAUGUCGAGAAGGUGUCAGACUUAAUCGAUUCAGAUACUUGGACGUGGCGACAUGAUUUGAUUUGGAAGACUUUCGUUGCCUCGGACGCAGCUGUUAUUAUAAACAUUCCUAUUCGGCAAGGAGGGGGACCUGAUUUUCCUGCAUGGGCGGUUGAUAGAUCGGGCAACUACACUGUGAAGACGGCGUACCGAGCUCUAGUGACUCAGAAAGAGCGACUAGCUCUAGAGCACGGGACGGCUACCGGGACCUCAGAGGAUGAUAAACAGAUGUGGAAAGCCCUAUGGAAACUUAAUGUUAUUCCAAAAGUAAGAGUAUUCCGAUGGAGAGUACUUCGUGGCAUUCUCCCAGAUGAAUACACGCUCAAGAACCGCCAUAUUGCAGACGUUAGUAGCUGA
This 798-nucleotide ribosomal RNA is filed under the name Triticum aestivum (bread wheat). RNAcentral describes it as "partial small subunit ribosomal RNA". The record is from RNAcentral. Lineage: Eukaryota; Viridiplantae; Streptophyta; Magnoliopsida; Poales; Poaceae.